AACUGCCACGUGUAGGACGGAGAGAAGAGCAGAAGUUAGUUGACGACACGUAAGACAUAUUUGGUUUUAUCUUUGAAGAAGCGUUAAGAAAGGUUACACCACUAAAUCCUGAUUAAUCGCUAAUUAAAGCGUGUGUUUUGGUUUUAGCGGGAAAUCGUUAAUUAACGAUUUAGGUGCUUCUCCUACGGUGCACGCUCUCACGUUCUAAAUAUGCCACGUGGAGCAGUAGUAAGGAUAGUUUAGAACCGGACACGUGUUCGUUUCUCUGCCCACUAUUACGAUAAAACAGCCGUGUGGUCUUUGCAAUCUGGCAGGCCAGGGACACGUGGUGCCAGAUCUUGAUGUCCCCACGAAUCUCCACCCUCUUUUUCACUAAACGAAAGCGAAGGUCAGAGAAGACGUAUACCCAUAUAAAUAAUGACACGUGUCUGCCUUGAUGCGGGACUCAUUACAUGGUUUCAAGGAGCCUGAAGUUGACACGUGGAUGGCAUAGGCAGCGUAGACGAUGCGGCCGGAUCAAGUUGCAUUCCAGGCUUAACGAAUGAUAGGGACGAAUGGGCUUAUCUGUAUGAAAGUGUGUGCUACACGUGCUGCAAGAGUGAUGGAUAAGAGAGGUGAAAAUAUGAGACGAUUGGCACGUGUAAGUAUUUGGAAGAUGAGGCGCUAAUGAAGGGCAAUGAUAAUUGCGACACGUAAGCUUAUGAGGUGGGCCCAUGUGGAGCAAUGCUUUUGAAAAGUGUGCGAUACGAGGGUCGGAUCGUUGGUGGUAAACGGGCAAUGCAUGAAGGCCACGUGUCACUGGUGGGAAAGUGGGCAACGAUAAUAACCAGCUGUGUGGACGUAGCUGAGUCCUCAUUUGAUGUUUGUGCUUCUAUCCAGCACGGUUUCGCCGCCGCUUACCGGGAUGACAGCUAAUGAGGUUUUUUUUAGUAUUCCGAUUUCCGACCGAAUUAUACGACAAACUUAUUUAACUUUUGAAGAAGCCACGCUUUCGCUAGGUUUCUAGAGAGAUUCUCUCUUUUCAUUCUCCUUCAUUUUUUAGAGAAAGUCUCUUCUACUGCCCGUCAGUUUCUUCCAGUUAUGCAUUGGGAGGCCUCACUUCCAUACCGUUCAGAGAGUGGAGGUUAAGAGAGGAAUUCUCUUUUUGCCAGUGUUUUUUUUUAUUGGUUGUUGUCUUGAUAGGUUCUUAAAGUAGCUAGAGUUCUUGUACGUUAGCCUUUUACUGGUGGUUUGGAUGUUGCAAGGCUGUCUUGACGGUUCGUUGAUAUUGUUUAAUUUCAUAUACCUUUGAGGACGCUCAGGUCGCCAUC
Molecule: long non-coding RNA, 1310 nt
Organism: Manihot esculenta (cassava)
Lineage: Eukaryota; Viridiplantae; Streptophyta; Magnoliopsida; Malpighiales; Euphorbiaceae
Exons: 2
Source: RefSeq, a predicted model, not a curated record